GUUAGACGGAUUUCCAGUAAAAAGAUAAUUAAAAUAAGGUUAUUUCUUCUUUUAGGUAAUCUGGGCUACAGUAUUUUGACCAGACAGAGCUUUUAACUGCAGUGUCAUAUACAAGGAGAGGACUGCUGUACACUCCUUUGUCCAUCUGGAAAUAGAGGUUCAGAUCCAUUCGCUGCUUGCUGACACGUCUGUUCAGCCAUGUUGGUGUACUUCCUUCCUGGGAGAUGAAUCGGCACUAUGCUCCUCAAUAUUUCUGAAGUAG
This 262-nucleotide long non-coding RNA is filed under the name Anas platyrhynchos (mallard). RNAcentral's name for it is "lncRNA (ENSAPLG00020010130.1)". The record is from RNAcentral. Lineage: Eukaryota; Metazoa; Chordata; Aves; Anseriformes; Anatidae.